Molecule: long non-coding RNA, 1239 nt
Filed under: Mytilus galloprovincialis (Mediterranean mussel)
Lineage: Eukaryota; Metazoa; Mollusca; Bivalvia; Mytilida; Mytilidae
Source: RNAcentral
AAUUGGAGUUAUCUUUCUUUGUAUAGAAUAGUAGUUGAUAAUAUAUGUUGGAAAUUUGCCAGACAUGACUAUGAUGUCAUUUUCUAUUUUUAUUUGCCAAUAACUUUAUGUAAAUAACUUCAUUGGAAAUUUGCCAGUAUAAAAUGUUGCUGAUGAAGCUUUUUUUCCUUAUCUUAUCUAAAAUGUUUUUAGAUAAUGUAUGUUGGACAUUUGCCAGACAUGACUAUGAUGUCAUUUUCUAUUUUUAUUUGCCAAUAACUUUAUGUAAAUAACUUCAUUGGAAAUUUGUCAAUAUAAAAUGUUGUUGAUGAAGUUUUUUUUAUUGUUUUAUACAAUAAACAAUGUAUAUUCACUUUUACUACCAACCAAUCUUUACCAUUCAGUGAUAACAAGCACUUUAUUUUACAUUUUAUUUUAUUUUAAUAUUUUAUGAUGUAUUUAAAAGAGUAGUUAUUGUUGCAAACUCCAUUAGAAAUUUGAAUUGAUAUCAGUUUUGGAAAAAGGGAAACAGGGAUGUGAAAAAAAGGGGGGGGGGUAAAUUUUUCUCAUUUCAGAUUUCAUAAAUAAAAAGAAAAUUUCUUCAAACAUUUUUUUGAGAGGAUUAAUAUUCAACAGCAUAGUGAAUUGCUCAAAGGCAAAAAAAAACUUUUAAGUUCAUUAGACCACAUUCAUUCUGUGUCAGAAACCUAUGCUGUGUCAACUAUUUAAUUUUAGAUUUAAAAAGUUUGAAGAAGAAAUCUUUAAUUGAUUUGUAAAAUCUUGACAUUUGUUUUGUGUAAAAAAAACCCAUGUAAUGUCAAAAAUUUGAUCACAAUCCAAAUUCAGAGCUGUAUCACGCUUGAAUGUUUUGUCCAUACUUGCCCCAACUGUUCAGGGUUCGACCUCUGCGGUCGUAUAAAGCUGCGCCCUGCGGAGCACCUGGUUUAACUAAAUAUCCGAAAGGAAAACUCAGGUAAAGUUUUGUAACGUUUAGCCCUGUUGUUUUAGACAAAGUUUUUGUUGAACGAUUCAUGACGGACACCAAAUGUUGGCAAAUGCUCAUAUGGCCUUAUUUUAGUUUACUAAAACGCUCAAACAUUCUCAGUGGCGGAUCCAGAAAUUUUCAUAAGUGGGGGCCCACUGACUGACCUAAGAGGGGGCCCGAUCCAGUCACGCUUCAAUGAUUCCCUAUAUAAGCAACCAAAUUUUUUCCCAAAAAGGGGGGGCCCGGGCCCCCUGGGCCCCCCCUCUAAAUCCGCC